Long non-coding RNA from Rosa chinensis, 549 nucleotides. RefSeq lists it as uncharacterized. The transcript is spliced from 3 exons. The record is from RefSeq and is a predicted model, not a curated record. Lineage: Eukaryota; Viridiplantae; Streptophyta; Magnoliopsida; Rosales; Rosaceae.
GAGCUGGAGAUUGGUUUAGAGGCAAAAUCUCCAAGGGACAUUGAAACAGUUCCAACGCCUAUAGAUACAAGUCUGAAAGCAGACCAGGAACAAUCUCCGUUGGAUCCAAAUGAAUAUAAGCUGAUUAUGAAGACCGCAUAUGAAUCAAAGGGGAGUGCUAGGCUCACACUCGUAACUUGCCACGUGUGAGCAAAAAAACUCAUACAAAUUUGUUCUUUUAUGUUCCUUGUAUGCAACAGCAGCAGCAGCUUUUCUACCAGCAACAACAACAUUCUUACCAACAAAUGAUGUCUCAGCCUUGCUACGAGCACUAUCAACCAUUCUCUCAGCAGCCGCAGCCUCCGUACCAAGAACUUCAUCCUUCUUACAUGCAGCCGCAGCCUCAGUACCAACAGCAGAAUCCUUCCUACAUGCAGCUGCCGCCACCAAAUCAUCAAGUGCCUUACUCGCUCAAGAUGUUCUGGAAUGAUGCAACCUGAAUAUUUCAAGAUUUCAACUUUUGGCAAUAAUUUUGUCAUCAUUUUGUUAGGAAAUAUUAUUCUAUUUCUU